RNAcentral lists this long non-coding RNA (576 nucleotides) under Ictidomys tridecemlineatus (thirteen-lined ground squirrel). RNAcentral describes it as "lncRNA (ENSSTOG00000029605.1)". Lineage: Eukaryota; Metazoa; Chordata; Mammalia; Rodentia; Sciuridae. The record is from RNAcentral.
UGCCCUUAAUCAGCUUUUCAGUUCAGUUUUAUUGGUUGCACGCACAGUCAGUUAUUUCAUCCAGAAAAUCUGAAGGCCCUACAAACUAACCAGGGUAGCUCUUCUUUGGAGCAAUCCACCAGCUGCCUUGAAUGGAUAUUAAUGUGAAGAAAUGAAAAUUGCUUCUACUUUAAAGACUUUGGAUAUGAUUUAAGAAGCCAAGCAUAUAUAUGAAGUCAGAUAACAAGUUUAUUGUACAACUCAAUGUGGUGGAAAUGAAUGCAAAGCACUUCCAAGACACAGAGAAAUCCAUUCAAGUGAGGCUAGCCACCCCCCAGUCCCUGGAGACACUGUGUAAAUGGAAACAGGAACAGCUCAUUGAGAACAGUCUUCUGGAGACUUCUCACAAGGCCACUAGAUGGCAUGAAAGCACUGUACUGGACCUGAUCAGCUACAGUGCAAUGUGCAACCGAGGCGUUUAUCCUCCUGCUGAGAGCUCAGUGUUUAGUCAAACGGUCCCUUGAGACUUCUAGAAGUUCUUUAAAGUCAAGGUCAUCCUUUUGAAGAUACACUGACUCAAAAAGAGGUACCUUUUUA